CUAAGUCUCUAGAUGUCCCUCUCUCUCUCUCUCUCUCUCUCUCUCUCUCUAUUCUGGACUUUCAUCUUCUUCGUCUGAUUUUCUUCGAUCUUUUUGAUCUCUUAUGAGUGAUCUAGCUAGAAUAUUAGUUGAAUCUAUGGGAUUCAUGUUGCUACAGUAAUCAAGCCUGAAAUAUUGGCUGAUUUGGUGUUUGUAGUGGUUGGCAAAAAGUCAUGUUCCUAUUUUUGGUAAGGUUCUUGAGAUUUAAGAGAUCCAAGUGUGGAUCGAUGAUUAUCUCUAAGUCCAAUUCCGUCUUCAUGCUUGUACUCCAUUUGGAUGGUUUUUUUGUGCUUAGUAAUCGGGCUAAUCUCUGAGCCUCCAGAUUAGGCAAUUGCCGAACUAGGUGAACAAUUUAUCGCGUUCAUUUACUUUUCUUGCACUGUGUUUGAUGUUUCCUUUACAGUUUUCUUUAACAAUAAGUAGGAAGAAAGCCUAACAACUGGUAUUAGAGCCUUUGAGGUUCUUGGGGGUGCAAGUUUUUGAACCAAAAAUUGUUUGAGUUAAUUUUUCUUGGUCUGAUUUUUCUUGGGGUUGCCAAUUUUCUUAACAAACUGUGAGGCCAGCAAUAUUAGAUCAGUUUUUUAAUAUAAACUAAAAGAUCUAAUUCUUGUCUUUUCUGUAUUGUUGUUUUGGAAGGAAAAAGGUUGGUGAAAGGUGGUAAGACAACUACGGUCUACUUCCAGAAAUGAGGAGUUCUUUCUGUCCUCAAGUUGAGACCAGCAGUGUGUUCUUCUUUAUUGUUAAGACAGUCUAUGGUGAGUACGUUUUAAUUUUUUUUGCUUUUGUAGAGUAAUUUCAAUUCUUGAUAUUUGAUAUGAGAUAUAUACAUGUGAUACAUGGUAGAAUGGGUACUGUGAUUUGAAUUGGAUACUUCUGUUAGUGUGAGCAUAUUGCAUUAGAUAAGUUCUUCUAUAUAACUUGGUGUACUCACUCUGUAUCAAAUAUUAUUGUUCUUAUUUCAAAUUUGGUGAACAUAUAUCUGCGUGGAUUCUUGGAAUUUUUUCAAAACCAUUUUCUGCUCACUAGUUGAUCUUUAAUUCAAGAUUAAAACUAUGUCCAUGAGUAUAGGCUACCCUUUUACAAAACUCGUGAUGGGUUCGAAGGUCGAAUUGUCUAAAUUCGAUGGAAAGGAGGAUUACUCUAUAUGGAAGCAGAAAAUGAGAGCUAUUUUGGUUCAACAGAGUGUCGCUAAGGCCCUUUAUGAUCCUAAAACUUUUUCUGCAGAACUUAAGACAAAACCAAAUGAAAUUGAAGACAUGAAUGAAAUUGCUUAUAGUUCCAUAAUUUUACAUUUGUCUGAUAACAUUGUAAGGCAAGUUGAUGAACCCAAAACUACUAGAGCCCUAUGGACUACUCUUGAUGCUAUGUUCCUAACUAAAACACUUCCAAAUAAAAUUUUUCUCUUGGAGAAGCUGUUUAACUUUAGGAAAGACCUUGAGAAGGACUUAGAGGUAAAUUUGAGUGAAUUUAGUAUAAUAGUGAAAAGCCUUGCACACAAUGAGAAAAAAUUUGAUGAUGAAGACCUUGUUGUAAUCCUGCCAAACUCAUUACUUGACUCAUAUAAAAAUGUUUAAAAAAAAAAAAAAAAUACUCAAGGGAUAAACUAACUCAAGCUAUAGUCAUUGAUGCUUUGAGGCCUAGGUAGUUAGAAGUCAAAAUGGAAACUAAAUCUAAUCCUAGAGAUGAAAGCAUGUAUGUAGGAAGAAGACCUGUAAAGAGAGAGUAAUUUUUCCACAAAGAAGGGAAAAGGGAAAUUCAAAACCAUAUCAAAAUUUAGAGAUAAAAGCAACAAGAAGUGUUACAUUGUGGAAAAUUGGGACACUUCAAAAGGGAUUGCUUUGAACCAAAAAGGAAACAAAGAGAUCUUAAUAAUGGGGAGUUAAAUAAUAACACUAUGGAAGCUGGGGUUGACAGUCUCUAUGGUGAGGAAGUUAAUAAAGAUUGGUUAUUAAAGUCCAAGUGUACCUUUCACACGUGCCCUAUAAAAGAUUGGUUCCAUAAUUACAAAGAAAUAGAACCGAGGAAAGUGUACUUGAGGGAUAAUAAUUCACAAACUAUUGUUGUAAUUGGAAAUAUUGCCAUAAAAAUGCAUAAUGGCACUGUCAAGUCAAUCUUGAAUGUAAGAUAUGUUUCUAAUCUGAAAAGAAACCUAAUAUCCUUAGGGAUUCUUGAAGAUGAAGUACAUACCUUCAAGUCUGACAACAAAGUAUUAAAAAUAAUGAAAGGUUCACUUGUUGUGAUGAAAGGAUAAAAAAUAGAUGGGUUGUACUAGCUUGAAGGUAAAGCGAUUAAUGUUCUUGAUUCCAAUCUACCCACCGUUACUGAGAAUAAAACUGAAUUGUGGCACGAAAGAAUGGGACAUAUUGGGAAUAAAGGGUUUUAAAAUCUUUAAGUAAUCAAAGGUUGCUUGGAAAAGAUUUUGUUGAAACCAUAGAAUUUUGUGAAACCUGUGUUCUUGGAAAAUCUCACCGGAUGAACUUUGAAACAGGUUCACAUGUUACUAAGAAACCCUUAGAUUAUGUCCAUGCCGACUUAUAGGGGCUUGAAAGUCACCCCACUUUUGGUGGCAAUAGAUAUUUUUUUUCAUCUAUUGUUGAUGAUUAUUUUAGAAAAGUGUGGGUCUUUUCUUUUAAAGGCUAAGUCUGAUACCUUUCAAAAAUUCAGAAUAUGGUUGAAAAUCAAUUGGAUAAAAAAUUUAAAAUCUUAAGGACUGACAAUGGUCUUGAAUUCUGAAUUUCAAAACUUCUGUAAACAGAAAGGUAUCUUGAGACAUAGGACUGUCAAAAACACCCCCAACAAAAUAGGACCUUGAUGAAUAAGGUCAUAUGCAUGCUGAUCAGUUCAGGGCUUACAAAAGGGUUCUGGACUGAAGCAGUGUGUACAGCUACUUAUCUAAUUAAUAGAUCACUUUCAAGUUCCAUUGGACUUAAAACACCCCGGGAAUUAUGGUCUGUCAAAAAACUAGACCUGUCUAAUACCAAGGUAUUUAGGUAUGCUGCUUGUGCACGUCAAGUUGAAGGGAAGUGAGACCCAAGGGCAACAAAAUGUAUUAUGUUGGGUUACUCUGAAGGUAUAUAUUUUAUGUGGUUAUAAUAUUAUACUAGUAUCGAUAUAAUACCAAUCAUGACAUAUAUUUUAAAAGUUUAGUAAAGAACAAAUUACUAUUAAGUAGUAAAGUAUAUCCCUCUAUAAUACACAACAUUGACUCUUCUAGUUUAUGUUUGGUUCUAUCUUUAGACUAAAGGAAAACCAAGCCCGACAGAAUAAGCAUUUGAAAGCUUUUAUAACAUGUUAAAAUUUAAUUGGAAUAUUUUUAACUUUUUAUCAAAUACAUCCCAUCAAAAUAUUGAACAAAAAUAAACAUCUGUGAUACACCGAUAAUAUGUUAUUCCUAAACAACAAAAAUAAAUUCGUGGCAUGUUUCAAAUUCUAGUGGUCAAAUGAAAUCAUAAGAGAAUUAUCAUUAACAAUUAUGAGAAGUCUUACAGAAGCAAUUUCUCUUCAUUCACCAUGCAAAUAUGAUCUAAAGUCCAAUCUAACUAUCAACUAAAAUACGUUAGAAUAUAAUAAAGAGACUUCAUUUUGCAUGUUCAUACGUAUAAACACAUUCCGAUUUCAAAUAUUCAAUCCAAUGCAACGCCAUGGAUAUUUUUCAAAGAAUAAAUUUGGGAACAAAGAUUGAGAAGAAAAUUCCUUUGUCGCCAGAUAAGGAUUGGCAUUUCCCGCAUCACAAUUUUUUUUUUCUUUUCAGACAAAAAAUUGUUUAUUGAUCAACGAGAAAAUAAAGCUUUUGCAUAAUUAUUAGGCGAGAUUAAAUUGCACGGUAUUCUUUUAAAAUAUUUGCAUGCACAGGUCACGAUUCUUCAAGAAUAUAACUAUAUUUUUUCGAUUAUUAAUACGAUAUUUAAUUAUAUCAUAUUUAGUUAUUCUUUUUUCAGGAUUGUAAAAUAAUUAAACAUUAUUAGAAAUUAUAUGAUAUUUUCAAGAUUUAUGGUAUUUUAGGAGCACAACAUGAUAUUUUUAUAAAAUUAAAACUUAUAAAGUAAUGCUCUUUUAAGAGCAAUAGCACAUUUUUCCCCUUAUUAUUUGAAUUUGUGUUUCUUCAAGAGCAAUGAAAUAAAUGUUUUUUAAAUAAUAAUUUCUUCUUGAAUAUUGAUUUUAUAUUUAUACUAUUUCAAGAGUAGUAAUACAAGGGAAGUGUUACAUGUACAUAAUUGUUUACUUAAUGAUAUUCAGAAUUACAUGUGGCAUUGGAUGUAACCUUUAAUACAAAUCUCACACUUGCACAUCAACAAUCAGAUAAUUGCCACAUCAUAUUAUGGACACAAUUAUGUGUAAUAAUUAUGUACAAGUAGAAUUUUCUAGUAAUACAAUAUUUUUUGUAAUAUUGCCAAGAGCCCUAUCAAUCGGUAUAACUAAAAAAAUAUUUACCACUUUGUUUUAUAACUCAAAGUUGAGAGAAUACUUACAUUUUCUUUAAAUGAAAAGAAGAUUUUCCUUAUGAACUCAAUUAAUUCUCUAACUCAUCCAUCAUGUCAAGGCCAAAUUUGAUUUGUCAAUCCUCCUUAGAAAUCGGUGACUAAGGUGGGAAUGCUUGCGUGAAUAAAAGGAAAUUCUUUUAAGCUGAGCAGCAGCAUUAGCCUCUUCAAUGACAACUUUUGAUGAAACAAAACUAAAAAAGCCUAUUUGCCCUCGACGAGAAUUCACCCAGCCAUUUAUAGAGUGGUAAAGGAAUCUCGUCAUGCAUCACGAAUUAGGUGGCAAAGUGGUAUGAUGAGAACAAAUGGUAGAAAUGGCUAGGAAUUUUGUCCUAUUUCUAUUUCCCUUAUGUGCAUAUUUUAUUGAGAAUUAAAUUUCUAUAUUUAUGUUAAAAAAAUAAAGGUGCAAGGAAUAAUUGUUAUAAUAAUUUGGACCAUAGGGAUACAAUGAUCAUUCACUAAUUAUUAUUUAAUUUAGAACAUUUAGGUCCAUAUAUAAUUACAAAGUUUAUUUUUAUAGAGAGCAAGUAAAAUACUUCAUUACUAGGGUGUUGGAUGAAGAACACAAUGCAAGAUGACAAAUCUAGAUCAAUCGGAGGAGCAUUGUGAAGAUUGAGCUUUUAUUAAAUAAAAUUGAAUUUUAAUUCCAUUUAUUUUGGUUGAAUUAUGAAUAUUAUGGCUUUUAAUUUUUGUCAUUAUCUUUUUGGUUUAUUAAUUAUCUAAAUUCUAGUUAAUUUUUUAAAAUAAGGGUGUAAGCCAUUACGGCAAUAUGUUAUUUUUGGGGAAAAAAAUUAUUAUAGAUUUUGGAGUUUUUCAUUCUCUUAAAUUUUAAUUAUUUGAUAUUAAAAAUUAACGAGUCCAAAUUUUUUAUAUUUGUACAUAAACCGAAAAGUUUUUGAUGCCUAAAUUUUUGGUAUUCUUAGAAAUAAAUAGAAAUUAGAGGGUGAUCAUGUUGCGAUAUUCAUUUGAAAUCAAUGAAACUUCAAUAGUGUGUUCAUUUAUUUAUUUGUAUCGCUUCCAUCUACAUCAAAAACUAAGUUUGAUCUUCCCCUACACUCUCCAAAUUGUAAUAACGGCUCUCGAUGAAGCGAGCCAAAUGUUUUCUAAGGUCUUUUCAUCGAUUGAAAAUGGCACCUAGCCCAUAAACAUGCGUAUUUAUAGAUUAUAUUCAUCAUUGAAUUAUAAUGGGUCUACAUCUAUCCAUUAUAUUAAUGAGAAUCAGGAUAACUCGGCCUCCGAGCAUUUUUAAUCUACCGUCCAACUUGUUUUAGUUAAUUAAGGUCCCAUCAAUUUAGCAUAACAUAGAAAAAUUCCCAAAAAAAAAAAAAAAAAAAAAAAAAACCAUGUUGUUGUCAAGUGUAAUUUGCAUUAAUAUUCAAUGGUACCUUUCUACAUUUAUGAAGAUAAUAGGAAGACGUUCAAAUUCAGAGAAUUGCAGCCGUAUUAGCAGGAUACCGUAAAUAAGUAUUUUGAUUAUUGCAAUACAGAAUGUAAUAAAAAAAUUGUAGUAGCAGUUUUUUCGCAUGUGCUAGAAGGAUGGCUCGAUAAAGCCAUUAGCGUUGAAUAAGACUAAAGUGUCGAUAUAUUUGACAAAGUGAGGUGGAAAUUUAACUUUCGGCAAAAGCUUUACGAUAAACUUCGUAACGUUUACUAAUUUCAUUGAGAAUUAACCAAAUUUUCAUUUCUCAUCUCUUAACUUACAACUGCAGGACAAAAGUCAUUUUUGGAGAUUUUCCUGUGACCUUAUGUAAAAUGUGUGUAAAGAAUUUUAACAACACAAUUUAUACUAGUAAAGUCCAAAUUCAAUUGGCCAAAGUCACAACUAAAAGAGGACUUGAAUGAGGUAAAUAAUUUUAAAGGGACAUUUUACUGUUACACUAAAAGUCUAAAUUGAUAACAAAAAAUUGUAUAAUAAAGAAGAUGAGGGACUUGUCUUGCAAAUUUCCGUUUAGUGCUCAAUUGAAUUGGUGCCGUUUCUUUUGUUGAGAAGUGAAAGAAACCGUGAAAGAAGAAGAAGAAGGCCGGCAAGGUGAUUGGGAAAUGAUUGAUAUACACAACUUAAGCUUAGUUUCUUCAAUUUCCUGAGAAAGCAAGAAAUUUACUUAUUGAAAAGUUGUGUUAAAUUUUAGAACUUUUAGAUUCUUAGCUUAAAUUCGAAAUUUUGAAAGAGGAAUGAUUGAUUUAAGUGUAAUAAGCAAUUUAUUUAAGUUAAGAAAAGAAAAUAGCAGUUUAAAGUUUUAGGUUUCUUGAGCUAGUUGAUAACCUCAUUGCAUCCCGCACAGUGCUUUUGAGCAUGCAUAGUGUCCGCCCCAUUUUUACUUUCAUAUUUUAUGUAUCAGGUAAUUUGGUUAAAAGCGAACCUGUAUUACUCAAGAUUUAAUGUACAAUAUUGCUAAUUUUAUUUUGCUUUUCAAUGUGUGAUCCCUGGAUGCAGAUAUUAAGUUCAGAGUAGUAUGAGCUUGUAACAAAAUCGCUUUUGGAUCAUGUGGAAGAGAAGGGAAAAAUUGUUGAUGAUGAUGGAAACCUUAACCAUGCUCUCAUCAAAAAGUAAAUUUUUGAAGUAUCAUAUGUAGAUUUCCUAAUCAUAUCCAGUAAGGCUCUCACUAUAUACUUGUCUUUGCAGAGUAAUUGAUGAAACCGAUACAUAUAGAGACGGAAAUAUAACAAGAGAAUCGGCAGAGUUGUUGAAAAAACUCGUGCCAGGGAUGUCCGACAGUGAUAUAGACGCAACUGUUUUUAAAUCAAUGGAAAAUUUUGAUCACGACAAAGACAAUAAAAUCAACCAACAUAAAUUCAAAAAAGCAUGUGAAUAAUUAUUUGAAGAUGGUGACUUCUUUACAAGAGAAUUUUCGGAUGAGGCAAGCUCCCUAAUUAAUGCAAAUUUUAAAACUAUCGAUACUAAUACAAGUAUCUCGUGACAGUUUUAUUAGCACGAUGUUGUUUCUGUAAAUGCAUUUAGGGUCCUAUCAUAGUUUUCUUAUAAAGGAUGAACCAAAAAUAUCCAAAUUUUUUAUUGUAUUCUAUCCCUAGUAAUUUUACAUAAUUCACCAACAUUUAUUGAACACCAUGUUGUUGUCAAGUGCAAUAUGCAUCAAUAGUAGUUUUUGAAAUUAAUUAUAAAUACAUUCCUUAUUCGGGUUGAACUGCAGAUCUUUUUAACAGUUUUACCUAGUGGAAAAAGAUCAUAAAUUGGGACUUAAUCCAAUAAUGUCAAAAAUUCUAUAGCACCCUGAAAGGGAACAACAUAAAGGAUUGCUUAUCACACAAGAUGGGAAUGUCAACAAUGGCAGAAUUAACGAGUAAUUUAUUAUAAUUAACCUGUUUGUUUUCUUGAUUUGAUAGAAAUUCCUCACGAUCUUCUUUUUCUUCUGGUAGGCUCUUCAGACAAUAUGACAUUGACAAUAAUAGCAAGAUAUGAAGAAAUGAAUUAGAGGCCGUACUUCCAGGCUCAUGGUAUUCAUGUGUUGACGAAUUUUUCACUUAAUCAAGUACUUCAAAAAUCUGAUACUUCGAAACGAUUAUUGAAAUGGACCAUUAAGCACAGUGAGUUCGAUUUAGUGUACAAACCUAGAACUCAAUCGGAGAAAUCAAAUCUAGGGCAGGAGUGGUCUUGGAGAGUCUAGAAGGACAUAGGCCCAUUAUGCUGUAUGGUUCGGAUUUAAAGCCUCCAAUAAUGCUGCUGAAUAUGAGGCACUCUUGGCUGGCCAAUGGUUGGUCAAGGAGAUGCAGGUGAAGAAGUUGCUCAUUAGCAGCAACUCCCUGGUAUAAAUCAAGUUGAUGUCAAUUUUACCUCUAGAACAAUGGUAUGGGGUUGCUACCUUAAAUUCGUCGUGAAUUUUCUCUCCAACUUUGAAAAGUUUGAACUGGUAUAAAUUUCGUGUCUGGAAAAUGUUCAUGCCGAUGCUUAGUCAAAAUUAGCCAGCGGUAAAGAUUUCGAAUUUUUCAGAGUGAACCUUAUUGAGUACAUCGCUAGACCGUCAAUUGUGGAGGGAGAGGAAGUGAUGCGAAUCGACGGCACUCCAUCAUGGAUACAACCCAUUACUGCCUUUCUCAACUAUUAGAUCAUACCUGACAAUAAAAUUGAAGCCCACAAACUUAAUAGAAGAGUUGCUCAUUUCUUCUAAAAGACAAUAUCUUAUAUAAGAGAGGCUUUUUGUUCCUGCUUUUUCGUUGUAAUGGGGGAGAAGAGGCAAGCUGCAUCCUAAGGACAUUUAUAUGGGGUAUGUGCUAAACAUUCUGGAGGGCCGACAUUGGCACACAAGGUUCUCAAGUAGGGAUAUUACUGGCCCACAUUGAAAAAGGAUAUGCUCGAAUUUGUGCAAAAAUGUGACAAAUGACAAUGCUUCUCCAAUGUACAAAGGCAAUCAUCCCAAAAACUCACAGUAGUAUCUAGUCCUUGGCCAUUUACCAAGUGGGGAGUUGAUUUCACAAGGUCCUUACCAACAGGAAAAAGGAAGUGCCAGCUUUGCCAUUGUUGCAAUUGACUGCUUCACAAAAUGGGGCUAAGAUCAUUGAGGCAAAUACUUCUAAGUUUCUUUGGAAGAACAUAAUAUGGAGGUUCAGCAUCCCACAUUCUAUUUUAUCAAACAAUUGCAAAUAGUUCAACAACAAGAAAAUUCGAGAUUUUUGUGACGAACUGGGGAACAAAAGUAUUUCUCAAUGCCUUAUCACCCCAAUCUAGGGAUGGCAAAGAUAUUCGUCAUAUCCAAUACCUGUAGGGCCCAGUCAUGAACGAGGCGAAAAUUACUUGUUUAAUAUGGUAAUCGGGUUGGGAAAAUGUCCAACAGGGUACGGGGCGGAGGAGCUCUCCCUGCCCUGAACCCAUUUCAUUGUCAACCCUAUCUCAAGCCAACGAUCAAGUUGAAGCUGCCAGCAAAACCAUCAAAUAUACCCUAAAAAAGAAACUUGAUGUUUCAAAGAGAGCAUGGGUUGAUGAGCUUUCUCAAGUUCUUUGGGCUAUAUGCACUACUUGCCAAACUGCAAUAGGAAAAACUCCAUUUUCCAUGACUUAUGAAGCUGAAGUCAUGAGUCCGAUCGAGAUAAGAAUACCUUCGCCUCAUCAUAUUCAUUUUGAUGAAAUAGCAAACGACAAACUAAGGAAGUGUGAGCUUGAAUUCCUUGAAGAAAUUAAGGAUGCCUUUCGGGAGAAUCUUGCUAUAUACCAAUGACCGAUGAUUCUUUACUAUGAUGUCAAAGUAAAUAAAACAAAGGACAUUUCGCCUAGGCGACCUGAUGCUUUAGAUCGAUUUCCAGUCUUGAAAAGAGCCAGGUACAUGAACAUUGGGAUCCAAUUGGAAAGGUCCAUACCGUAUUAGGGAAAAAGCACUACCUGGAAAUUAAUAAAAUUGAAAGCAUGGAAAGGAAGCUGCUACCUCAUCCUUGGAAUAUUGAACAUUUGAGGAAAUAACACCAAUAGUUUAUUGCUCUAAGUGCAAUGUAUUUAUGUAAAUAUCUUUGUGCUAAUGAAAUGUUAUAAGCUAUGUCUCAUUACUUUUCCUCUUGAUAGAUGAACUAUCUACCAUGGGGGAGCCUUUGAUGAGGUUUUUGAUGCUUCCCACAAGGUCAUUUGAGGAAAUUAACUGACUUGACUGUUUGAUUGCUUGUGGCCACUACUAUCACCAUUAGGAAAGGUCGUGGCUGACUUACGAUUUCUGUCAAGCGUGCAGGGAUGAGCAUACGUAGAGCUGCUUUCUGUUGGCCACGUGGCGAUUCGUUUUCCAUGAUCAACAGAAAUGGGGUCCAAAUGCAUAUGACAUGAUUUACUAGAGACAUCUUUUCAUCAUUCGUUGUAUCAAGUGUAUUCCAAUAAUAAUCAUGUUACUUGUACAUCAAGUUUGAUAUCUGUG
This 10363-nucleotide long non-coding RNA is filed under the name Olea europaea subsp. europaea. Lineage: Eukaryota; Viridiplantae; Streptophyta; Magnoliopsida; Lamiales; Oleaceae. The record is from RNAcentral.